This 557-nucleotide ribosomal RNA is filed under the name uncultured bacterium. RNAcentral's name for it is "bacterial SSU rRNA". It matches the Rfam family "Bacterial small subunit ribosomal RNA", at positions 102 to 694 of the family's 1533-position model. The record is from RNAcentral.
ACGGGUGCGUAACGCGUGGGAAUCUGCCCUUUGGUCUGGGAUAACUGUUGGAAACGACAGCUAAUACCGGAUGAUGGCGUAAGUCCAAAGAUUUAUCGCCAGAGGAUGAGCCCGCGUCGGAUUAGCUAGUUGGUGGGGUAAAGGCCUACCAAGGCGACGAUCCGUAGCUGGUCUGAGAGGAUGAUCAGCCACACUGGGACUGAGACACGGCCCAGACUCCUACGGGAGGCAGCAGUGGGGAAUAUUGGACAAUGGGCGAAAGCCUGAUCCAGCAAUGCCGCGUGAGUGAUGAAGGCCUUAGGGUUGUAAAGCUCUUUUACCCGGGAUGAUAAUGACAGUACCGGGAGAAUAAGCUCCGGCUAACUCCGUGCCAGCAGCCGCGGUAAUACGGAGGGAGCUAGCGUUGUUCGGAAUUACUGGGCGUAAAGCGCACGUAGGCGGCUUUGUAAGUUAGAGGUGAAAGCCUGGAGCUCAACUCCAGAACUGCCUUUGGUACUGCAUGGCUUGAAUCCAGGAGAGGUGAGUGGAAUUCCGAGUGUAGAGGUGAAAUUCGUAGA